GAACGCUGGCGGCAGGCCUAACACAUGCAAGUCGAGCGGAUGAAGAGAGCUUGCUCUCUGAUUCAGCGGCGGACGGGUGAGUAAUGCCUAGGAAUCUGCCUGGUAGUGGGGGACAACGUCUCGAAAGGGACGCUAAUACCGCAUACGUCCUACGGGAGAAAGCAGGGGACCUUCGGGCCUUGCGCUAUCAGAUGAGCCUAGGUCGGAUUAGCUAGUUGGUGAGGUAAUGGCUCACCAAGGCGACGAUCCGUAACUGGUCUGAGAGGAUGAUCAGUCACACUGGAACUGAGACACGGUCCAGACUCCUACGGGAGGCAGCAGUGGGGAAUAUUGGACAAUGGGCGAAAGCCUGAUCCAGCCAUGCCGCGUGUGUGAAGAAGGUCUUCGGAUUGUAAAGCACUUUAAGUUGGGAGGAAGGGUUGUAGAUUAAUACUCUGCAAUUUUGACGUUACCGACAGAAUAAGCACCGGCUAACUCUGUG
Molecule: ribosomal RNA, 481 nt
Filed under: uncultured bacterium
Lineage: Bacteria
Description: bacterial SSU rRNA
Rfam family: Bacterial small subunit ribosomal RNA
Source: RNAcentral